UUAAUUGAAACCAAUUUAUGAGGUUAAUUAUUGUUAAUAAUUACAAAGAAAUAUAUUUUCCAAUUAAA
RNAcentral lists this transfer RNA (68 nucleotides) under Cheumatopsyche sp. XG-2022. RNAcentral describes it as "tRNA-Asn". Lineage: Eukaryota; Metazoa; Arthropoda; Insecta; Trichoptera; Hydropsychidae. The record is from RNAcentral.